This 1120-nucleotide long non-coding RNA is filed under the name Malus domestica (apple). RNAcentral's name for it is "long non-coding RNA (MDOM_LNC014789)". The record is from RNAcentral. Lineage: Eukaryota; Viridiplantae; Streptophyta; Magnoliopsida; Rosales; Rosaceae.
GCGCAAAACCAAAAUUGAGUGGGUCAGUAAAACAAUUCUUUUCCAAAUCCAAACAUUUCUCAAAACGUUGUAACCCCUCUCCGUAAAACCUGUAUACUUUCCCAGAAAUAUAAAAUAUAAAUAUACAUAUAUAUAUUCUCAAUACUUCAAUUCAUUAACUCAACAUUUUCAUCAUAAUUAUGCCAUGCCACAUCAUCUCAACAUUUCUCAUAUUAAUUAUGCCAUGCCACAUCAUCUCAACAGUAAUAAGGUAUGAAUGCAUCAACAUAAAUCAUAUCAGGUGCAAUAAAGUAAUCAACCGGAGGCCCUCUAAUAGCCCUGUACGGUUGAACCUAGAGCUCAAAAUCUAUCACUCUCACACUCUGCCGGAGUCACUCCGCGUGACCUGUACGGCCUUCUGCACAUAAGUUACGCUCUAGUGCUUCUCAUAAAUCAUCUGUGCACAUAAUCUAAGGUUACCCACCAGUCGGAAUCUCACUAACACUCUCGCGACUGGCCUGUCGUACCCACUCCGCGUGGACUGUACGACUAGCAUCUACUUGGAUCCAAGGCGAGCGUGCGAUGCGGUGAAUACUAUAAGCACUAAACUAUGGUGCAGGAUUUGAGCUCAAUAUACAUCAACAUCAUCAUAACAGAAAUAACUACUCACCUGUGCGUCCAUCGCACCAUUUCAUACAUAUGCAUCAUAUCAAUUCUUACCUGUGCGUCCACCGCACCAAUUCAUACAUAUGCAUCAUAAAUCAAUUCUUACAUGUGCGUCCACCGCACCAAUUCAUACAUAUGCAUCAUAUAUUAAUUCAUGCAUGGCAUUUCAACUCACAUUUCUAUAUACUUUUCAUAUCAAUUCUAUGCAUGGUAUUUCACUUCCCGUUUUUCCACAUAACUCAUAUGCAUUUCAUUUUAAACAUAUUUUCAUUUCAAUUCAAUUUCUGGGAAACGUCAAGUAUAUAUAUAUACGGAAAACAAAACUGCCCACUCACCUGGAGUUCAUCCAACAACUCCCUAGCACCACACAUCAAGGCGUCACGACGAUCGCCGCCUAGAAUAGUAAUCAAAUCCAACCUCAGAAUUCAUAUCGAUAGAAUAUAUAACUUAUAUAAAAUACGUCCCUACGUAGAUC